Small nucleolar RNA from Scomber scombrus (Atlantic mackerel), 79 nucleotides. RefSeq annotates it as small nucleolar RNA SNORD34. The transcript has a single exon. The record is from RefSeq and is a predicted model, not a curated record. NCBI's taxonomy places the organism in Eukaryota, Metazoa, Chordata, Actinopteri, Scombriformes, Scombridae.
GCUGUCGAUGAUGUGAAUCUUACAAUCCUUACCUACCUUGUUUGAAUGACACUGAAAAGAAAAAAUAACUGAGACAUGC